This 1436-nucleotide ribosomal RNA is filed under the name uncultured organism. RNAcentral's name for it is "16S ribosomal RNA". It matches the Rfam family "Bacterial small subunit ribosomal RNA". The record is from RNAcentral.
GCUUAACACAUGCAAGUCGAGGGGCAGCAUGGUCUUAGCUUGCUAAGGCCGAUGGCGACCGGCGCACGGGUGAGUAACACGUAUCCAACCUGCCGUCUACUCUUGGACAGCCUUCUGAAAGGAAGAUUAAUACAAGAUGGCAUCAUGAGUCCGCAUGUUCACAUGAUUAAAGGUAUUCCGGUAGACGAUGGGGAUGCGUUCCAUUAGAUAGUAGGCGGGGUAACGGCCCACCUAGUCUUCGAUGGAUAGGGGUUCUGAGAGGAAGGUCCCCCACAUUGGAACUGAGACACGGUCCAAACUCCUACGGGAGGCAGCAGUGAGGAAUAUUGGUCAAUGGGCGAGAGCCUGAACCAGCCAAGUAGCGUGAAGGAUGACUGCCCUAUGGGUUGUAAACUUCUUUUAUAAAGGAAUAAAGUCGGGUAUGGAUACCCGUUUGCAUGUACUUUAUGAAUAAGGAUCGGCUAACUCCGUGCCAGCAGCCGCGGUAAUACGGAGGAUCCGAGCGUUAUCCGGAUUUAUUGGGUUUAAAGGGAGCGUAGAUGGAUGUUUAAGUCAGUUGUGAAAGUUUGCGGCUCAACCGUAAAAUUGCAGUUGAUACUGGAUAUCUUGAGUGCAGUUGAGGCAGGCGGAAUUCGUGGUGUAGCGGUGAAAUGCUUAGAUAUCACGAAGAACUCCGAUUGCGAAGGCAGCCUGCUAAGCUGCAACUGACAUUGAGGCUCGAAAGUGUGGGUAUCAAACAGGAUUAGAUACCCUGGUAGUCCACACGGUAAACGAUGAAUACUCGCUGUUUGCGAUAUACUGCAAGCGGCCAAGCGAAAGCGUUAAGUAUUCCACCUGGGGAGUACGCCGGCAACGGUGAAACUCAAAGGAAUUGACGGGGGCCCGCACAAGCGGAGGAACAUGUGGUUUAAUUCGAUGAUACGCGAGGAACCUUACCCGGGCUUAAAUUGCAGAUGAAUUACGGUGAAAGCCGUAAGCCGCAAGGCAUCUGUGAAGGUGCUGCAUGGUUGUCGUCAGCUCGUGCCGUGAGGUGUCGGCUUAAGUGCCAUAACGAGCGCAACCCUUGUUGUCAGUUACUAACAGGUUCCGCUGAGGACUCUGACAAGACUGCCAUCGUAAGAUGUGAGGAAGGUGGGGAUGACGUCAAAUCAGCACGGCCCUUACGUCCGGGGCUACACACGUGUUACAAUGGGGGGUACAGAGGGCCGCUACCACGCGAGUGGAUGCCAAUCUCAAAAACCUCUCUCAGUUCGGACUGGAGUCUGCAACCCGACUCCACGAAGCUGGAUUCGCUAGUAAUCGCGCAUCAGCCACGGCGCGGUGAAUACGUUCCCGGGCCUUGUACACACCGCCCGUCAAGCCAUGGGAGCCGGGGGUACCUGAAGUGCGUAACCGCGAGGAGCGCCCUAGGGUAAAACUGGUGACUGGGGCUAAGU